RNAcentral lists this ribosomal RNA (273 nucleotides) under uncultured bacterium. RNAcentral describes it as "partial 16S ribosomal RNA". It matches the Rfam family "Bacterial small subunit ribosomal RNA", at positions 524 to 796 of the family's 1533-position model. The record is from RNAcentral.
UACAGAGACUGCAAGCGUUAUUCGGAUUCACUGGGCGUAAAGGGUGCGCAGGCGGUCGUGUGUGUGAGGUGUGAAAGCCCGGGGCUUAACCCCGGAAAUGCGCCUCAAACUACAGGACUAGAGCAUUGGAGAGGGUAGCGGAAUUCACGGUGUAGCAGUGAAAUGCGUAGAUAUCGUGAGGAACACCAGAGGCGAAGGCGGCUACCUGGACAAUUGCUGACGCUCAGGCACGAAAGCGUGGGGAGCAAAAGGGAUUAGAAACCCCCGUAGUCC